RNAcentral lists this unclassified non-coding RNA (758 nucleotides) under Bombus terrestris (buff-tailed bumblebee). RNAcentral's name for it is "misc RNA ENSBTSG00005039177.1". The record is from RNAcentral. Lineage: Eukaryota; Metazoa; Arthropoda; Insecta; Hymenoptera; Apidae.
GCAGGGAAGCGAUUAGCGCAAUCUCGAAUUCGUGACCGCCGUCCGCGAUUUGAAAAUCGUUUAUCGAAUAUAACUUGUCCGAGAACCUGCUAUAAAUUGAAAUUUCUAUAGACAGAACUAAACAGUUACUUGUGGUCUGCCAUUGAAGAUCAGUUGGUUUCAAGCAACGUUCAACAUUUUGUCAUUGACACUUCACAGGUGCGUGAAUUUCCGGUAAGUACCAUGAAGAGUUGGCUGAUAAGUGGAACGCGCGCGAUAAGACUUCUCUGCAUCUUCCUUCUGGUGCAGUCGUUUUUGGUUACUUCGUCGAAUUCUGAACCCGAAACGUGAUGGCUGUAACCCCUGCGGUGGAAUGCAGAAUUUUACGUAGAUGUAACAUGGCGUUCAACCCAAAGUUUAGACCCAAAUGGUGCAGAAAAUUUUCAGUCUCUUAAAAUUUAUGAUUCACAUAUCUUUGUUCUUGUUCUUCAUUGCAUUGACGUUGCAAGAUUCAAAGGACGUUGAUUACUAAUUGGUCGAUUAUUAGCUCACUGAUUUUCUGUAUUCAGAAUCCUGUUCUUUGUCAAUUGAAUUACAAAGAAUGCAAUAAACAAGAUAACGCAAACAUCGAAUUUGUUAUGAUUUAGAUAUAAACUCUACUUAGAACAUUUUUACAACUACGAAAUUCAGUCUGCUGAUUGACUUACAGAUGAAUGUGCUUGGAGUAUACAAUGUAUUAAAAGCAACAAAUAUUUUGAUACGAUUGGGGUUAGGGUCCA